RNAcentral lists this ribosomal RNA (402 nucleotides) under Actinomycetes bacterium. Its description in RNAcentral is "Actinobacteria bacterium partial 16S ribosomal RNA". It matches the Rfam family "Bacterial small subunit ribosomal RNA", at positions 355 to 776 of the family's 1533-position model. Lineage: Bacteria; Bacillati; Actinomycetota; Actinomycetes. The record is from RNAcentral.
UGGGGAAUUUUGCACAAUGGGAGCAACCCUGAUGCAGCGACGCCGCGUGAUUUAGAAGGCCUUCGGGUUGUAAAAAUCUUUUGUAUGGGAAGAAAAUGACAGUACCAUACGAAUAAGGACCGGCUAAUUACGUGCCAGCAGCCGCGGUAAUACGUAAGGUCCGAGCGUUGUCCGGGAUCAUUGGGCGUAAAGGGUACGUAGGCGGAUAAGCAAGUUAGAAGUGAAAUCCUAUAGCUCAACUAUAGUAAGCUUUUAAAACUGCUCAUCUUGAGGUAUGGAAGGGAAAGUGGAAUUCCUAGUGUAGCGGUGAAAUGCGCAGAUAUUAGGAGGAAUACCGGUGGCGAAGGCGACUUUCUGGCCAUAAACUGACGCUGAGGUACGAAAGCGUGGGUAGCAAACAGG